AACGAACGCUGGCGGCAUGCCUAACACAUGCAAGUCGAACGAGACCUUCGGGUCUAGUGGCGCACGGGUGCGUAACGCGUGGGAACCUGCCCUUAGGUUCGGAAUAACUCCCCGAAAGGGGUGCUAAUACCGGAUACUGUCUUCGGACCAAAGAUUUAUCGCCUUUGGAUGGGCCCGCGUUGGAUUAGCUAGUUGGUAGGGUAAAAGCCUACCACGGCGACGAUCCAUAGCUGGUCUGGGAGGAUGAUCAGCCACACUGGGACUGAGACGCGGCCCAGACUCCGGCGGGAGGGAGCAGUGGGGAAUAUUGGACAAUGGGCGAAAGCCUGAUCCAGCAAUGCCGCGUGAGUGAUGAAGGCCUUAGGGUUGUAAAGCUCUUUUACCCGGGAUGAUAAUGACAGUACCGGGAGAAGAAGCUCCGGCUAACUCCGUG
Molecule: ribosomal RNA, 433 nt
Filed under: uncultured bacterium
Lineage: Bacteria
Description: partial 16S ribosomal RNA
Rfam family: Bacterial small subunit ribosomal RNA
Source: RNAcentral